GAAAUCAAGUGUGGGUGAGACCU
Molecule: microRNA, 23 nt
Filed under: Pongo abelii (Sumatran orangutan)
Lineage: Eukaryota; Metazoa; Chordata; Mammalia; Primates; Hominidae
Also listed under: 1 other name
Description: Pab-Mir-551-P2_5p* (star (passenger))
Source: RNAcentral